Long non-coding RNA from Halichondria panicea, 5673 nucleotides. RefSeq lists it as uncharacterized. NCBI's taxonomy places the organism in Eukaryota, Metazoa, Porifera, Demospongiae, Suberitida, Halichondriidae. The record is from RefSeq and is a predicted model, not a curated record. The transcript is spliced from 3 exons.
CAUUGUCGCACGUGAUCCCGUUUCCAAUCCCUGUUAAACUAUGCUGAAACAAGUAUGCAACUAACAGUGGCCUUAUUGAAGCAAAAGAUUUUGUGGCAAAAUUUCCCUCUCACCCCACAUGUGUACAUCAAAGUAAUAUAUGGUCUGGAUCAGAGCUUAUCGUUUGCUACUUGUUUAACGUUAUUGUAGUACAGGUAAGUAUAUCAUAUAGGUAAGGUGAUGUAGCUAUGGCUUCAGCAGAUGUGUCCUUUCAGGAGGGUCUUGUUGGUGUGGAGUUGGUUGUGAGUACUUGUGAGUUCUCUUAUAGUGGUGGCCUCAGUUCAUUACAAUUGACCUGGAAAGUGUCUAGUUUCAGAGGCAAUUUCUGUGCUUCUUGAUUGUCCCUAUAUACGUACUAUAAUUAUGAGGUGUCAUUGAAAGGCAGUCAACAGUGUUAGGGCUAGGGUUAUAGGGUUAGCAUUUAGGUUUUGUUACUGUGGUGGUACAUGUGUUCUAGUGGGAGGGUCACUAGUUGAUGCUGGAUCCCUGGCCCUGUAGCUCACCUUUUGGGGGGGGGGGGGUGUAUUCAUUGCCUGCUUUCCUAGAAUUUACCUUUCUCAGAAGUGGUGGGAAUUAGAUUCAUGUGGUGGUGGCUCAAUAGCUAGCAUGGCUGGUGGCUGUUAGACUAGGGCCAUGCACUUGUCUGUGGUAGCAAGAUGUGGCAGAGUAAGCACAUUUGCUGUGUUUUGUGGUAACCUUAUCUACUUUCAACACAAACACACACACACACACACCAGAAGGUUAUUUAUACCCAUGUACUACUACUUUUAGCUGAGCUUGUUGACAAUUAAUGAUUACUUCUAGCUGGUUUUUCAUAGUCAUUGGAGACUAGGAGGCAAACUUUCUGUGACUCUCUGGCUACUUAUACUAGUAGUCAUUAACCAACCUGCGCAUGAUCCCCAGCAAUCCCCUCCAUUCUGUUAUCAGUGCAUACACUUUUUACUAGAUUCCUAUGCAAGCUAGAUACAUUACUGCUAACCCUUGCUAAUCCACACAGCUAGCCAGAUAUUAUAAGCUCAGUAAAGCCAGAGGUAAGUUGUAUGGUAACCUGAGCAAAUAACCCUAUAGUCCAACCUCCUUUGCACACACACCAUGUGCUGUAUACUUUUUCUGUAUUUUGAGGCCAUAAGAAUCACUAAAAGUUCAGCCCUGCUGGAAAACACUAUAGUGAUUCCUACUGCAUGUGACCUCUUCUGCACAUGAUUAUAACACCCAGUUCUACACACAUGUGCAGAGAAGGUCAAACAUGUGGUAUAUAUGAAUCACUGCAAAUUCAAUUUACUGUGUCUGCACGUUAUGAAAUGUUACAAAUAUACACUGAACUCAAAUAUAUACUGAACUACACCCAGAGGAGGUUCGGACACUGAACUAAUAUAUACUGAACUACACCCAGAGGAGGUUCGGACACUGAACUAAUAUACACUGAACUACACCCAGAGGAGGUUCGGACUGAACUAAUAUACAUUGAACUACACCCAGAGGAGGUUCGGACACUGAACUAAUAUACACUGAACUACACCCAGAGGAGGUUCGGACACUGAACUAAUAUACACUGAACUACACCCAGAGGAGGUUCGGACACUGAACUAAUAUACACUGAACUACACCCAGAGGAGGUUCGGACAAUGAACUAAUAUAUACUGAACUACACCCAGAGGAGGUUCGGACUAAUAUAUACUAAACUACACCCAGAGGAGGUUCGGACACUGAACUAAUAUACACUGAACUACACCCAGAGGAGGUUCGGACACCGCUACGAAUCACUACAACGAAUCACUACAAGUUCAAUGUACUGUGUCUGCAUGCAUGUUAUAAAUGACAUUGAUCUACAUCAAAAUAAAGGAAGUCUCUUGUUCUAUGCUGAUGAUCUUCUUUACCAUCCUAUUCAAUCUCCUGGUCCCCUACUUAAAGUUGACCACUACAAGUACCUUGGCGUGUGGAUCUCUCAUGACCUCUCAUGGUCAAAACACAUAGAAGGAAUGUGCAGAAAUGCCUGCAAGCAGGUUGGUAUAAUUUACUGACAGUUCUAUGGCCACUUGUCACUAGAAUGUUUAAGACAACUCUACAUCUCACUUGUGAGAUCAAAACUGGAAUAUGCUGCCCCUGUUUGGGAUCCACACCAAAAAACAAAUUCUCAAAGUUUGCCCUUAAAAUGUGCACAAAACUUUGGAAUAGGGACUACGACUCCCUAUUAAAAAAAAAAAUAAAUAACUACCUGACCAGAAAUGAACACUGAACUUGUAGUGAUUUGUACUGCAUGUCCAAAGUAACCCUACACCCUACACAAUGCACAUCCAUGCACACUAUACACGUACACUACACCCUGCCCCAGUUAUAUAGUCCGAGAGCCUUAAUUUGUGCGGAUGUAUUGCUUAGAAACUGGUGUUCAGCUCUUACCCAUUUACCGUAUAGCGGGUAAUUUUUGGGGGAGAAAAUAUUCGUGGUUCAGACAUUUCGUGGGUAAUAUUUUCGUGGUUGGAGCUUGCACUGCAGGUAAAGGUAGGCAAGGUCGCUUCAUUCGUGGGUAAAAUAUUCGUGGUCAGACCUCCAACCACGAAAACCACGAAUAUUUUGCCCCACGAAAAUUACACGCUAUACGUACUUAACCCACCUUGACCACAUCCUGCUGAUAAAGUCAUGCGUGGUAAAACAAAAUUAUGGCAACCACCAGGUCCCCAUGUGUAUAUGUAGUACCAAUUAACCUGUUGGUUGUAAAGAUUGCUAAAUAGAUCUUUUGCCCUAUAUAAUCAUUGCUGGCCCACUCAGUAUAGUUCUUAGCUCUGGGUGCCAGUUGCGUACCCAUACAGUGCACAUUUUAUUAACCGAGUCGCGUAGACGGCCACCAAUAUAGUAGUCCGCUGAGGUGGGUGUCUUGAGUCUUCUCACCUGGAUGCCGAAGGGUUGUGUUUGCAGCAUCAAUAUAUAGCCAAGUAAUUUCUUGUUGAAUAGAAGCGAGCAAAGGCUAAGAAGCUUGAACUUGCACGUUACCUACAGAAGUGCUAUAUAGCUUUUAUAGGCUAGCCAUAUACAGGUUUGAUUCGAGGCAUUUUAUGGCCUACCACACUGCAAAAACACUUUUGUUAUUGUGACACAGUUUGCUACCGGCACAAAAUGUUAUCUUGACAAAACGUUUGUCAAUUUCCUGCAAUUAUUGUUAUAAUGACAAAUCAUAGUUUAUUUAACUAUUAAUAUAGUUUAUCUAACUAUUAAUAUUUGUUAUUAUAAUGGUAGAUUGUUAUUUGAACACAUGUGUUGUCAUUUUGUCGAAGCGUUGUUGAUCUCACAUUUAGUGGAAGUUAUCGUUCAUUGUCAAAUUAACAUUAAUGUGUGACAAUAACAAAUUAUAAAGUUACAGCUAGAACUCUACUAAAAGAUACGUGCAAGUUUGCAUCGCUGAUUUCAACCUACUCAACCUAUACUCGAUUACUCAGUUGCCCUGAUGCUUAUAUCUUUGCAUGCUCAUGUUCAAUUGUGUUGUAUGUAGCAAUUGGAGACUUGUGACUGGGCAUGGUAAGUUACAGUGGCAGUGAAGAAGUCAGGAGCCUCCAGAGUCUUCAGUGCAGUGCAGUGCAGGCAGCCUUCUCUCUAGCCUCCUUCACAUGCACAAGGCCUGGCCUGAAGAGCGGCCUGGGAUCGAGGCUACCUUCUCUCUAGUCUCUAACUCUAGCUAGUCUCGAGGUCAGAUUCUGAUAAGGAGAGUUUGGCCUCGAGACUAUAAUUUUAAGCUGGAACUAUAGGCGUGGCAUGAGGGGGCGUUCAGGAAUAACAGGGCAAGGCCUCAAACAUACUUAGCACAUGGUGCUUGCAGCUGCACCAGACUGCAGCUGCUCAUGCAGCUUUAUACCAUCACUGACUGCAUGCCUGUACCCCUGGCCCUGGGCUACCAUGUUCCAUGUACACCAGCUAGGAUCUAGGAGUCAAGAGUCACCUGCAUCUGCAGCUUGAAAGAAAAGACAAUUGCAAAUUUUCUUAAAGAGUAGAUAGUACCACCAUCUCAAAGAAAAAAGUUAAGUUCCAUUGCAUGCUGUUGGCGCAUGGCAUGUACAUGAUCCCAAAACUCUCUGAAUUCACAGUUUACAAAUCACUGCUAUACCGUAUCGGCGUAUAACUCCACCAUGUACCAGCUUCAAAGAAAAAGGAUUUAAGUUAUGUUGCUCAUUGCUAAAUAAAUGUGUUCUCGUGUUUCUUCCAGCUGCAGAUUUUACCGUACCUCGGCCCCACAAUGUGUACCAGCUAGGAGUCUACUUAACCACCUUCAUCGACUUCAAAGAAACGACUUGCAAGUUAUGUCAGAUUCCAUAAAACUAUAUAGCUAGCUAGAGGGCAACUGUCCCUGGCCUGGUUUCGACCUUUAUCUGUAGCAUACUGAUUUACGAGUUCGUGUCUUCAUGCACUGGUUUCGACUGGUCAACUUCGUCCAUGGGGUGAUAGCUAGUAUACUGAUUUACGAGUUUGUGUAUAUGUGUCCUCACGUGUCAGUUACACUGGUUUCGACUGGUCAACUUCGUCCAUGGGGUGAUAGCUAGCAUACUGAUUUACGAGUUUGUGUGUAUGUGUCCUCACGUGUCAGUUACACUGGUUUCGACUGGUCAACUUCGUCCAUGGGGUGAUAGCUAGCAUUGUAAUUUACCAGUUUGUGUGUAUGUGUCCUCAUGCGUCAGUUACACUGGUUUCGACUGAUCAACUUCGUCCAUGGGGUGAUAGCUAGCAUUGUAAUUUACCAGUUUGUGUGUAUGUGUCCUCAUGUGUCAGUUACACUGGUUUCGACUGGUCAACUUCGUCCAUGGGGUGAUAGCUAGCAUUGUAAUUUACCAGUUUGUGUGUAUGUGUCCUCACGCGUCAGUUACACUGGUUUCGACUGGUCAACUUCGUCCAUGGGGUGAUAGCUAGCAUUGUAAUUUACCAGUUUGUGUGUAUGUGUCCUCAUGCGUCAGUUACACUGGUUUCGACUGGUCAACUUCGUCCAUGGGGAUGAUAGCUAGCAUUGUAAUUUACUAGUUUGUGUGUAUGUGUCCUCACGUGUCAGUUACACUGGUUUCGACUGGUCGACUUCGUCCAUGGGGUGAUAGCUAGCAUACUGAUUUACGAGUUUGUGUGUAUGUGUCCUCAUGUGUCAGUUACACUGGUUUCGACUGGUCAACUUCGUCCAUGGGGUGAUAGCUAGCAUACUGAUUUACAAGUUUGUGUGUAUGUGUCCUCAUGUGUCAGUUACACUGGUUUCGACUGGUCAACUUUGUCCAUGGGGUGAUAGCUAGCAUACUGAUUUACGAUUUUGUGUGUAUGUGUCCUCACGUGUCAGUUACACUGGUUUCGACUGGUCAACUUUGUCCAUGGGGUGAUAGCUUAUACUAUUUACAUUUUGCACUACAUAUGUGUUGGUAACUAUAGUGACUUCAAUCUUUUGUUCUGUAGGGGCGAAAAUGAUCUGAGGGAUGUAGCGUUCAUGAAACCAAACGAAACGCCUGCAGUUCACUGUACUGGAAUUUCAAGAAACGCUAAGUGAUGAACACUAAAAACAAUUUACUGACAGAAGAAAUUAUUGUGCUGCGUGUCAUGUGAUCCAGUGAUCUUAUUCUAUCAUAAACUCAUUGUUCUAAUACCGUUUGACCUUCUGCAUGUGCGUACGUGCGCGAG